RNAcentral lists this transfer-messenger RNA (370 nucleotides) under Rhodoplanes tepidamans. It matches the Rfam family "Alphaproteobacteria transfer-messenger RNA". From Rfam's summary of the family: Bacterial tmRNA, also known as 10Sa RNA or SsrA, is named for its dual tRNA and mRNA-like properties. Its role is to liberate the mRNA from a stalled ribosome. To accomplish this part of the tmRNA is used as a reading frame that ends in a translation stop signal. The record is from RNAcentral. Lineage: Bacteria; Pseudomonadati; Pseudomonadota; Alphaproteobacteria; Hyphomicrobiales; Nitrobacteraceae. RNAcentral also lists the same sequence under 1 other name.
GGGCUUCCGUCCCGCCUCCAUUGUCCCUAUAUUGGGCGGGCCGGCUUGCCGGCUAUGGCGAUAAAUGGCCGUCGUAAUAAACCUUUCGGACCCGGGGGCGGUACCCGGCGCCUCCACCCGAGCCCAGUGCGGCGCGUCAGCGCCGGCCCGCUGGGCUCCGGCGGGGGCGAAACAGGAUCGACGAGGGCGUAAAGGACGCGCUUUUGCCCGGCAUGGUUCCGCCGUUAUCGGGCCACUGCAAUAGUUGCCAACGACAACUAUGCUCCGGUUGCUCAGGCCGCGUAAGCGGUUUGAAAGACCGAUCUUCAAGCCCUGACGGGUAGCACCGGCAGGCGGGGUUCGGAGGCACCUGGCAACAGAAGCCUCCACU